AAAACGGCCCUUUUCAGGGCCACCAAAAGACAUUGUACAUAGAAC
This is a non-coding RNA of Camponotus floridanus (Florida carpenter ant), 45 nucleotides long. The record is from Rfam. Lineage: Eukaryota; Metazoa; Arthropoda; Insecta; Hymenoptera; Formicidae.